GAUGAAGAACGUAGUGAAAUGCGAUAAGUAAUGUGAAUUGCAGAAUUCAGUGAAUCAUCGAAUCUUUGAACGCACAUUGCGCCCCCUGGUAUUCCGGGGGGCAUGCCUGUUCGAGCGUCAUUACAACCCUCAAGCUCUGCUUGGUAUUGGGCCCCGCCAGUUCUGGCGGGCCCUAAAGUCAGUGGCGGUGCCUUCCGGCUCCGAGCGUAGUAAUUCUUCUCGCUCUGGAGACCCGGUUGUGUGCUUGCCAACAACCCCCAAUUUUUUAAGGUUGACCUCGGAUCAGGUAGGGAUACCCGCUGAACUUAAGCAUAUCAAUGAGCGGAGGA
This 329-nucleotide unclassified non-coding RNA is filed under the name soil metagenome. Its description in RNAcentral is "partial contains 5.8S ribosomal RNA, internal transcribed spacer 2, and large subunit ribosomal RNA". The stretch from base 1 to 120 matches the Rfam family "5.8S ribosomal RNA", at positions 35 to 154 of the family's 154-position model. The record is from RNAcentral.